CUCCUACGGGAGGCAGCAGUGGGGAAUAUUGCGCAAUGGGGGAAACCCUGACGCAGCAACGCCGCGUGGGUGACGAAGGCCCUUGGGUCGUAAAGCCCUGUCAGUAGGGAAGAACUGUCUGGUGGUUAAUACCCACCAGGUUUGACGGUACCUACAAAGGAAGCACCGGCUAACUCCGUGCCAGCAGCCGCGGUAAUACGGAGGGUGCGAGCGUUGUUCGGAAUCACUGGGCGUAAAGCGUGCGUAGGCGGCUGUGUAAGUCGGGUGUGAAAGCCCGGGGCUCAACCCCGGAACUGCGCCCGAAACUACACGGCUUGAGUCCGGAAGAGGGUUGCGGAAUUACCGGUGUAGAGGUGAAAUUCGUAGAUAUCGGUAAGAACAUCUGUGGCGAAGGCGGCAACCUGGUUCGAGACUGACGCUGAGGUACGAAAGCGUGGGGAGCAAACAGGAUUAGAUACCCUGGUAGUCCACGCUGUAAACGAUGUUCACUAGGUGAUGGACGGCACGCGCCGUUUAUUGCCGUAAGCUAACGCGUUAAGUGAACCGCCUGGGGAGUACGGUCGCAAGAUUAAAACUCAAAGGAAUUGACGG
Molecule: ribosomal RNA, 591 nt
Filed under: uncultured bacterium
Lineage: Bacteria
Description: bacterial SSU rRNA
Rfam family: Bacterial small subunit ribosomal RNA
Source: RNAcentral